Molecule: transfer RNA, 46 nt
Filed under: Cyathula uncinulata
Lineage: Eukaryota; Viridiplantae; Streptophyta; Magnoliopsida; Caryophyllales; Amaranthaceae
Source: RNAcentral
ACUCGGCUUUACCGAUCGGUUCCGGGUUCGAGUCCCGGGCAACCCA